GACGAACGCUGGCGGCGUGCUUAACACAUGCAAGUCGAACGGAAAGGCCCUGCUUUUGUGGGGUGCUCGAGUGGCGAACGGGUGAGUAACACGUGAGCAACCUGCCCUUGACUUUGGGAUAACUUCGGGAAACUGGGGCUAAUACCGGAUAGGAGCUCCUGCUGCAUGGUGGGGGUUGGAAAGUUUCGGCGGUUGGGGAUGGACUCGCGGCUUAUCAGCUUGUUGGUGGGGUAGUGGCUUACCAAGGCUUUGACGGGUAGCCGGCCUGAGAGGGUGACCGGCCACAUUGGGACUGAGAUACGGCCCAGACUCCUACGGGAGGCAGCAGUGGGGAAUAUUGCACAAUGGGCGGAAGCCUGAUGCAGCAACGCCGCGUGCGGGAUGACGGCCUUCGGGUUGUAAACCGCUUUCGCCUGUGACGAAGCGUGAGUGACGGUAAUGGGUAAAGAAGCACCGGCUAACUACGUGCCAGCAGCCGCGGUGAUACGUAGGGUGCGAGCGUUGUCCGGAUUUAUUGGGCGUAAAGGGCUCGUAGGUGGUUGAUCGCGUCGGAAGUGUAAUCUUGGGGCUUAACCCUGAGCGUGCUUUCGAUACGGGUUGACUUGAGGAAGGUAGGGGAGAAUGGAAUUCCUGGUGGAGCGGUGGAAUGCGCAGAUAUCAGGAGGAACACCAGUGGCGAAGGCGGUUCUCUGGGCCUUUCCUGACGCUGAGGAGCGAAAGCGUGGGGAGCGAACAGGCUUAGAUACCCUGGUAGUCCACGCUGUAAACGGUGGGUACUAGGUGUGGGGUCCAUUCCACGGGUUCCGUGCCGUAGCUAACGCUUUAAGUACCCCGCCUGGGGAGUACGGCCGCAAGGCUAAAACUCAAAGGAAUUGACGGGGCCCCGCACAAGCGGCGGAGCAUGCGGAUUAAUUCGAUGCAACGCGUAGAACCUUACCUGGGUUUGACAUGGAUCGGGAGUGCUCAGAGAUGGGUGUGCCUCUUUUGGGGUCGGUUCACAGGUGGUGCAUGCCUGUCGUCAGCUCGUGUCGUGAGAUGUUGGGUUAAGUCCCGCAACGAGCGCAACCCUUGUUCACUGUUGCCAGCACGUUAUGGUGGGGACUCAGUGGAGACCGCCGGGGUCAACUCGGAGGAAGGUGGGGAUGACGUCAAGUCCUCAUGCCCCUUAUGUCCAGGGCUUCACGCAUGCUACAAUGGCUGGUACAGAGAGUGGCGAGCCUGUGAGGGUGAGCGAAUCUCGGAAAGCCGGUCUCAGUUCGGAUUGGGGUCUGCAACUCGACCUCAUGAAGUCGGAGUCGCUAGUAAUCGCAGAUCAGCAACGCUGCGGUGAAUACGUUCCCGGG
Molecule: ribosomal RNA, 1343 nt
Filed under: uncultured bacterium
Lineage: Bacteria
Description: 16S ribosomal RNA
Rfam family: Bacterial small subunit ribosomal RNA
Source: RNAcentral